RNAcentral lists this ribosomal RNA (252 nucleotides) under uncultured bacterium. RNAcentral's name for it is "partial 16S ribosomal RNA". It matches the Rfam family "Bacterial small subunit ribosomal RNA", at positions 524 to 776 of the family's 1533-position model. The record is from RNAcentral.
UACGUAGGAUGCGAGCGUUAUCCGGAUUUAUUGGGUUUAAAGGGUGCGUAGGCGGGCUUUUAAGUCAGCGGUAAAAAUUCGGGGCUCAACCCCGUCCGGCCGUCGAAACUGGGGGCCUUGAGUGGGCGAGAAGAAGGCGGAAUGCGUGGUGUAGCGGUGAAAUGCAUAGAUAUCACGCAGAACCCCGAUUGCGAAGGCAGCCUUCCGGCGCCCUACUGACGCUGAGGCACGAAAGUGCGGGGAUCGAACAGG